AAGUCGUAACAAGGUUUCCGUAGGUGAACCUGCGGAAGGAUCAUUAACACGUAUCCAAAACCCCCCCCGUGAACCUUCAUCCUGCUCUUGUAACCCGCGUAGUUCGCAAUCUCUGAUAAAUCAUAGCCCGGAAAGUUGUAGUGAUUCAGAGACCUCUGGCUACGUGCGAACAUUGGAACAGUUACAAUCGAGCUGUCAUUGAUUGUGCAAGGAUAGCGCUUCUGUAGACCGUACACUCGGGCAGGAGCUUUGCCAAAGGGUCCCCAUGCCCCCUAAUAACCCCACAGUUUAAUGUGAAGCUCAAUGUAAUACAUGUAAAAAAACCGAACAACUGUUAACAAUGGAUAUCUUGGUUCUC
This 358-nucleotide unclassified non-coding RNA is filed under the name fungal sp. RNAcentral's name for it is "partial internal transcribed spacer region". The stretch from base 1 to 46 matches the Rfam family "Eukaryotic small subunit ribosomal RNA", at positions 1786 to 1831 of the family's 1831-position model. The record is from RNAcentral. Lineage: Eukaryota; Fungi.